CCCAUACCCAUGUGUGUAGGACCUCAAAGGAUCACCAUUAAAUUUGGCACAUAUCUCUAGAAAUGUUAUCACAUGGGUGUGGGACUUGACUUUUUUUAGAGAUUUGUGUCAAAUUUAAUGGUGAUCCUUUGGGAUCCUACGCAUAUAGGUGUGGG
This 155-nucleotide microRNA precursor is filed under the name Amborella trichopoda. Its description in RNAcentral is "MIR8565 microRNA precursor family". It matches the Rfam family "MIR8565 microRNA precursor family". The record is from Rfam by way of RNAcentral. Lineage: Eukaryota; Viridiplantae; Streptophyta; Magnoliopsida; Amborellales; Amborellaceae.